CUCGCAGCGGCCGGGGCGGGGAGCGGUCGGCGUCGGUCCCUCCUCCCGCCCGCGCUCACUACCGCCGCCGCCCGCGCUCGUUGCCGCGCCGCCGCCGAUGUCCGGACCGCUCCUGCGUUUGGAAAUUGAUUAAAGAGUCUCCAUUGGAUUUAACAUGGCAUCAAAUCAGUCAUCUCCCUCAACAGAGGAGCAGGCUUCCUCUGAAAUAGAUGACCUCUUUCUAUCACUGCAAGUGCAACGAGAGUGUACUCAGAAGAAGACAUUUACAACCUGGAUAAAUUCAAUAUUGGCAAAGCAUACACCUCCUUCUGUUAUCUCAGACUUAUAUACAGACAUUCAGCAAGGACAUGUGCUUUUGGAUCUGUUGGAAGUGCUUUCAGGUCAACAUCUGCCACGGGAAAAAGGAUUUAAUACCUUUCAGUGCAGAAGCAACAUAGAAAAUGCUUUGACGUUUUUAAGGAGCAAAUCACUCAAGCUUAUAAAUAUUCAUGUUGCUGACAUUAUUGAAGGAAAACCUUCCAUUGUGCUUGGCCUAAUUUGGACAAUUAUAUUUCAUUUUCAUAUUGAAGAACUUGCCAGGACACUUGCUUGCACUUACAAUCAGCCUUCUCUUGAUUGUCCAAGUACUGUUGACUCCUCCCCAAAGGCAAGGCGAUCAGCUAAAAAGAGUGCUAAAAUUAAGGAGCGGUGGAAGAUAUCUGCUACAAAGGCUCUUCUGUUUUGGGCAAAAGAACAGUGUUCACUAUAUGGUUCAAUCAGUGUGAAUGAUUUCAAGUCAAGCUGGAGAAGUGGACUGCCUUUUUUAGCUAUCAUCAAUGCCUUAAGACCAGGUCUAAUUGAUUUGGAGAAGGCAAAGGCUAGAAGCAAUAAGGAAAACCUAGAUGAGGCUUUCAGAAUUGCAGAAUUGGAGCUCAAUAUUCCACGGCUUCUUGAACCAGAAGAUGUUGAUGUUAUGAAUCCAGAUGAAAAAUCAAUCAUGACUUAUGUGGCUCAGUUUUUACAAUACUCCAGGAAUAUGCCCGAGACUGAAGACAUGCAGGAUAAAGUAACAGAGACCUUGAGCUGGUUGGCUGUGCAGAGAAAAAAGUUAGCAAAUUUGCUGAAGGACACAGAGAAUGAAACUUAUUACCAGAAGUACAAAGAAAUGAUGUCAUUUAUGGAAGCAUUUAACCAAGAAAAAAAAGCAUUUCUGCCCCUGUUAUCAUCAAAAAGAACUGGAGCUGAGCUGAGCGAAGGCCAGCAGCAGAUGAGGGAAGAAUGGAGUAAACUCGUCUCUCAGAUUAAUGAAUGGAAAGCAGAGCUGGACCAGAUGUUGCCUCCACCUCUGGAUGGCAUUGAGGCCUGGCUUCAGAAGGUGGAACAUCUGCAGGCAGAAGAUUUGCCUGAUUUGCAGGACCCAUUUAAAGCCAUGUCUCUCUUCAGUGAAAUCAUUUCAGUGUUUAAGGGCUUGAUGAAUUGUUUUGAUUCUCACUUGGACACUCUUCAAUCAUUUGAGAAUAAAGAUGAGAAGAAUAUGCCACUAGUAGUGCCUGAAAAGCUAGAGGAAAUGAAAAGAAGAUUCAAUGAUAUUCGUUUCACAAACUCCAGCUCCCUUCUUGAAUACCACUAUGGACUGUGCUCAGCAUUUGCCAAUGAGGUGACACUGAAGCUAAAUAUUUGGGAUGUGAAAUAUGGGACGAAAGAAUCUGUGGAAUCACUGCUAGAAAAUUGGAAUAAUUUCGUUGAAGAAAAGAGACUUAACACACAGCUGGAAACUGCUGCUGACAUCUGUGAAGACUUGAAAAACAAAAACUUAAGCAACCUUGACUUAGCUGGAGAUCCUCAAGAAAUUAGCAAACUUUUUAAGACAGUGGAGUCAAAGAUUUCUAUGUGCAAAGACUAUAUUUCCAAUGUAAACACUACACUACAGAAAGUCCUGUCUUCCUGGAGUAGUUACACAGAAAACCUCUGCUUACUAAAGACAUGGCUGGAAGAAAAACAAAAUGAGUAUCCAGUAGAGGUCCCUGUGGAAGUGCUGGCAAACUGGAAUUCAGUGCAUGGUUCAUUAAAUGAAGCUGGAAACUAUCUCAUUGAAGUCAGCAAAGAGCAAGUUGGGUCGAAUAUUGCCAAAGAGCUGAAAAAACUGAAUAGGAAAUGGGCUAAAUUCAUCAAGAAGACACGCUUUCUUGGUGAAGAGAACACAGAUGCUGCUGAAAAGGCCAGGGAGCUUCCAGGAGGCAUGGAGAAAAUUGAAGAGCUUCUUGGAGGUGUAGAGAGCUGGGCCACAGAGACUGAAUGCCUGCUCAGUGAGAUUGGUCACAAGACACCUGUGGAACCUCAGAUAGAGGAAUAUUUGCAGAGCUUGGCUGCAAGGGGAAUUUCGUGCCAAGAGCAAGUUAUGGCAGUAGAAGAGAUAUUGCAAUCUCUGAUGAAGAAUGCUUCAAGUGAGGUGUCCCAACAACAUUGUCACACCGCUGGGUUGCCAGCACGAAUUAAAGAAGCCAGAGACAGAAUAGAGGCUGUCAUGAGUGACAUGAACAACAUCCUGCCCAAAUCUGAGAAGAAACCCUCACAAAAGGAAGCUUUAUUUAAUUUUGAAGAAUCUCAGAAGGAUAUUGAGGUUUCCAUUUCAAAAGCUGUGGAACUUGUUAGUCAAAAAUUAAGUCAUGAAGUGCAUAUUUCAAGAUAUGAGGAAGCUUUUAAUGCUCUGGACAAUAAAGUUCUUGACAAUUUUUUUAAAGCAGUUGAACAACUGAAAAAUAUUUCAUCUGAUCAGGAAAAGCUGGUAGUAGAAGAAAAGAGUGAAGAUAUUCGUAAAAGAUGGGAGGCCGUUCAUAAUGAAAUUAUAUCCUGCAUCCAGCUCCUAUUAGAAAGGGAAAAAAAGAAAUUUAACACAACUUUAAAAAAAAUCAAUAAGCAAUUAGGGAAAGAAAAGAAACUCCUGAAUAUGAAUAAAACCAAAGGGCUCAUCAAGGAACAUGAGGCCUUUUUUUCACAUGAAGGCAGCCUGAAAGAACUUAGCAAGUCACUAGAGGAUCUUAAAAUAUUGGGAAAACUAGCAGAAGAAACUGUCCCAGACCUACAAACAUUUGCUGCAGACUCUGAACAAAAGCUAGAAAAGCUUCACCAAACCGUGGCAGAUACUUACACAGCCUUGCUGUCUCAUGCUGGAAGAAGACAGCCAUCCAAAAAAGAGAGCUCCAUUGUUGCUUCUGAGAAUGGAGAAAAGCCCAGUUCUACCCAACAAAUUGAUUUCCUUUCAGUACAGGAGACAUCAAGACCCUCUGAAAAUACGGCUUUGGAAACAGAUAUGAAGCAUCACAAUGGAGAAAGCUGUGAGAAGAUGUUUGAGGAAGGCAGUGAUUCGCCCACACCAGCUUUAUUAGAGAGCUAUAACACACAAAGAAGGAACCUGGAGGAACUUUUACAAGUAAGCAGAGAUAAAGUAGCAUCUGGCUUUACUGAUGAAAUAAAAGGCACUUCAUGCCUUCAAAAUAAAUUGCUUGAAUUACAGAUGGUAGAGAAUGAUAUCAAUUCUGGUUGGGCACAAUUGGGAAACAUCUCAUCUAGCUUAGAAAACCUUGUGGAUGAAGUGAAGCAAGCUGCUAUUUCUGAGACAAGAGGCAAACUAGAAGGAGAAUGGAAAGAACUUCAGGAUAUUAUAAGUACCAGAACUAAUUCUUUAAGGACUGCCUUGGAAAUUGUUUUACCAAUAGAAAAUGAGUCCAUUCUUCUAUGUGAGUUAGAUCAACGGCUGAACAAAAAGGGAAUCCAGCAGUUUAAUCUGGUGAACAGUGAUCUUGCUUACAGAGAACUAAAGGAGCUACAGAGAUCCAUAUUAAAUCAGAUUGAAGUGUGCAAACAAUUGGAACACCUAGAUAGUUCAGCAAGAGAUGAAUUUAAUCCAAUAGAUCUGCAAGCUGCAAGUAAAAUUAUGUUUUAUUAUCAAAACCAGCUUGAGAAAAUGAGCCGAAAAAUGCAAAUCCGAGAGACAGUUCUUAAAGAUCUGGAAGCUUUUAUGGCCUCGUUGAGGAAAAUUAAGUCUUCUGUCAAACAUCUCAUAGAUCCCUUAGGCCAACCUGAAACACAAGGAAAAACAUGGAGAGAGGCUGCACAAGAACUUUCUCAUAUGGCAAAAGAGGCUCAGUGUUUGGAUGAACGCUUGAAAACAGUUGAUAUCUGCUUGGAAGAUGCUGAGUCUGGGAGAAAUACUAGCUGUGAAAAGCUUGUUCAAACUUUAUCUGAAGAGCUAAAUGUGACUGGUGAUCACUCAAGUGAACAGAUGCUUAUGGAGGGAAAUGAUUUAUACAAGGUUUUUUCCACCAGAAAUGAGGAGCUCCUUAAAAACAUUCAGGAUCUACGUGAUAGAAUUAACAAAAUAGGUUUGAAGGAUCCAACAGUUCCAGCUAUUCAACAGAGGAUAAAGUCAUUAGUGGAAUUGGAAAAGGAAUUAGAUUGUUCUGCUGUUGAAAUGAAAUCUAUGCGAGAAAUUGCUAAUAAGCUCCUGCAGAUGAAAGAGGAAAAAGCAGAAGAAUCAAAUGAGCAAUGUAGAGUUACAGAGAGAUCGUGGGAGGAUACAAAACUCUUGCUUGCUGAAUGCCAGGAGCAGUGUGCGAGGGCUCUGGAGCUCCUGAAGCAGUAUCAAAGCUGCAAAAGCAGUCUAACCAGCAUCAUCCAUAAACAGGAGAUUGUGCUUUCACAGCAAAAUUCGUACAUGGGGAAGGACAAUUUGAACAGACUGAUAGCAAAGAUUGAAGAGGCAAAAGAGGAAUUUAAUGAUCGCGCUGAAGAUGUAGACAAAAUAAAUCAGAUCUGCAAAAACCUUCAAUUCCAGCUCAAUAAAAUGAGAAGCUUUGAGGAGCCUCCGUUUGAGAAUGAGGCUAACAUCAUUGUGGACAGAUGGCUGGAUAUCAAUGAAAAAACUGAAAACUAUUGUGAUAAUUUGGGAAGAGCUCAGGCUUUGUGGGACAAACUUCUUGGUUUAUCUGGCACAAUUGAUGCAUGGGCAAAUGCAGAACUUAAGAACACGGAAGGCCGCUGUCUGACCGAUGAGGACCUUACACAACUGAAGGCAUGCUUAUGUGUCCAGGAGCAGAAACUCCAGAAAUUUGACAACACAGUGGCUGAGAUAGAAGAACUUCUAAAUAGCAAUGAACCUCCACUGGAGCUCCAGGUUAUCAGAUCAUCUAUUGUGCAAAAAAUGGAGUUAAUAAAAGGCCUUUUGACAACGAAGCGGCGUACCAGUGAACUCAGUGUGAAUACAGCAGAGCUAAAAGGAGAUCUUGAUCUGGCCAAGACACAGAUUGGAAUGACUGAAUCGCUUUUAAAAGCUUUAUCUCCUUCUGACACCUUAGAGAUCUUUACUAAAUUGGAGGAGAUACAUCAGAAAAUUCUGCAACAAAAACAUCACGUGACGUUACUCCAAGAAGAGACGGAUUGUCCCGAUGUGGAUGAAUUAAAUAAGCAGCUUAAAUGUGUCACCGAUUUGUUUAAUAAGAAAAAACACGUGUUUCAGGACCACUUCAUUGGUGUUUUGAAUCGUCAGUGCAAGAAUUUUAAUGAUUGGUUCAGCAGCACUCAGCUGUCUUUGAAGGACUGCUUUGACCCCUCAGAAACAAAACAGAUGCUGGAAGAAAAACUGCAGAAACUAAAGCACUUCUUCACUUCUGAAGGCAAAGAUGGAGAUAUCCAAGAGGUUAAGACUCUGCUGAAUAAAGUGAAGCAUUACUUGCCCAAAGCAAGCAUUAACCAACUUAGCAGCCGUGUGAGAGAUCAAGAAGCAGAGCUACAAAGGCUGAUAUCUAAGUGUCAGAAACGGGAAAAGGAACUUGGUACUUGUCUCCAGCAGCUCAAUAGCCUUCAAGAAAGCAGCACUGUCUUAGAAAAAUGGCUCACCACUCAAGAAGAAAAACUGCAUGAGAUCAAAAAAGAUAAGACAAAACUUGAAAACCUGUAUAAAACAUUAUUAAUGCAGAGAGAACCAUUUGAUUCCUUGGCUCAGCUAGCAAAUUCCUUGAGGGAGACUGGGCUGACAGAAGAUGAAAUCAUUUCAGAAACCAGUGAUCUCGUUAGUAGAUAUCAAACGCUGACGACAAAUGUAAGUGAGAUGGCAGGAAAUACUCAGGGACUUGCAGUGGAUGAACAUUUCAAAGAACUUGCCCAGGAUAUGUCUAGUUGGAUCAGAAAACUUGAGAAGGCUAUUAAUAAUCUGAGCUCACAGGAAAGUGAGUUGCCACCAGACAGAAGGAUUAAUCAGAUAAAGGAAAUCAUGGCUCUCAAAGAUGCAGGAGAUGCCAAAAUACAGAACAUAGUGCCUGUAGGAGAAAUGUUAAUAAGAAAUGACAAAAUUAAGGAGCCAGAGAUUCAGCAGACUCUUUCUGACCUCCAGAACCAGUGGGAAAAGACCUGUCAGUUAGCCACUGCAUACAGAAGCCCUCAAGAGCAACUUCUGUUCAACAGGGAACAGUAUGAGCAAAGCAAAGAAGAUCUGAGACUGGCUCUAAUUGAACUGAAGAAACAGCAACAGGAGAUGGAUUUUGCCCUUCAGCCUGGUUUGCUGGAGAAGCAAGCUCAGUUGGCAAGUUACACCAAACUCUUGCAGAAAGCAGAAGAUCUAACUUCUCAGUUUAAUGAAUUAGAAAGCCAAGAUCACGUACAGAGCUUUGCUGAGAAUCCCUGCUUCACAGAGGAAUCGUGGUUGGAAUUAAAACACCAGCAUGAAAAUCUGCUCAGCCAGCUACAGGCUGCAGUGGAGACCUUGGAAAGACAUGUUCAAGAGCACCAGCAGUUUCAGGACAUGGUGACAGGCUUGAACACAGAGCUAAAAACUGUUUCCGAAAAGCUUGCUGAUGGUGUGAGUCCAACAGUGGAACAACCAUCCACUGAGCAAAAAGAAUUGAAAUCACAGGAACAACAAGCACCUCUUUGUCAAUUUGAAGAUAUGUUAAAGAAGAUUUUGGUUUUAGCAGAAACUGUUAAACAAAACACUUCUUCACCAGGACAGAAGUUUAUUGAGGAUGAAAUUGAAACACUUCAGAGUGAACAUAGGAGUUUUGAAGAAAAACUUGAAAAUGUCAAGCAAAAGAAAGAAAAUAUUUUCAGUGAAGCCCUUGAGUUAAAAGAUGAUCUCACGGAUGGAGUACAGAUGGAGAAUAAGCUGAAGAGGGAGAUGCAGAUCAUUUCAGAUACUCCUAUUGCUGCAGAAGAGGGCACCACAACAGCAGAGUUAAGGGAGUGUUUGGAAAUGCCUACUGGUCAAGUUGUAAUUGGGAGUGUAUCGGAGAAAGAGAAGCAAAAUGGUUCUCUUUUGGAAGAAAGCAGGAUGUUGUCAGACAGCCCAUUACAAAGUAUCCAUCAAGGAAAGGACAGAUACAGCCAAACUGCUCAGGAGGAAGCUGAUAAAGAGAGCCUGGCUAUGGAUAGAUGUGAUGGAGUCCAAGAGAACCUUCUGGACAGAGCAGUUCUGGAAAGGCAUCAGGAUGACACUGGUAUUGGAAGUGAUGAAAUAAGAAGGGAAACAAGUCCAGUGAAGCAAAAGGAGAAACCUGCUGAUGUCAAGAAUCAAUCCUACACAGAAGAUGAGGAGCAGGUUCAACAGAGCGUGUGCUUGAAGAGUCGAGUCCUGACACCUGUAACAGCUGAGACAAAUGGUCUGGAAUCUGACCCCUCAGUCUCUACCCAUGAGAAGGAAGGUGCAGCAGGGGUUGAUGAGAAGGAACUAUUUCCUGGAGUGCAAGUAAACACUGAGUAUUUUGAGGAGGAACAAAAGGUCAAUGAGCUGAAAAAUGAAGUGGCUGAGCUGGAUAUUGUGCUUAUAAAUGAGCAACUGAAAGAGCUGGAGAAUUUACAAACUGAGCUGGAAACGUGGAAAGCAAAAUCUUUGUGUCUGAGUCAGGAAACGUUUCCUGAUGCAACACGAUCAAACGGAGCAGAGCUGCAAACCCCAGAGCCUGUGGUGCCUUGCUGGGACAGGCUGCUUCAAGAACUGGAUGCUGUUAAGGCAGUAAAGCAACAACAGUCCUGUUUGGUUAAUGAGUACCAGAAAAAUCUUUCUGCUGCUCAGUCUUCAAUGAAAAAUUUGGCAACAGAAAAAGAUAACAUAAAAAUGGGUCCUAUGAAUAACGCAGUUCUACUGGAGAAAAUUAAGGCAUGUGUACAGUCAUUACACAAAGAAAGAGAUGUUUUAAACCAGCUGAAAACUCAACAAGAACUUUUGUCUCAGCAUUUAACGUGCAUGGACAAAGUGUUAACUGCAAGCCAAAUGAGGCAACUGGAGCAGUGGUGGCAGCACAUGGAACAGGCAGUGCAGAAGAAGCAUGAUCAGGUGUUGGCAGAAAUCAAUGAGUUUAACACGCUUAUGGAUAAAGCACAGGAUAUUCAGAGAUUGAUACAAGAGCAGUAUUUACAAACAGAGUUGUGUUCCUCAGCUGGAGAAAAAGCCAAAUGCCCCAUAAUUUGGACUGCAGAGUUACAGAAUAUUAAACAUGGUCUUUCCCUGUUAAAAAGAAAGAUAGAACUGCAGAUGCAAAGAAUUUGGAGCGAUGAAGAAAAGAUAGCUCUGGAGAGCUGUAUACAGGAUUUACAGAGCAAACUGGAAGCUUUAUCAGAGCAACACACUCCUCAAGAUGAUGUUCGGAUCACUGGUCCUGUUGUGAAGAAACAAGACAUAAUGAAGAAGCUGAAAGAAAAUAUUUCAUGGGUCAAAGAUUCGCUGUCCUCUCUUGAUCAGAAAGCAGCACUUUUCCCCUGCGAUGUUAAAUCUCAGAUCAGAAAUUGUGAGCUUAUGAGGAAUGAAGUUCUAGAUAGAGAGCCUGUGAUUGAAACACUGGGUAAUGAGCUCCAGCACAUCCUUCCCAACUUGAAGCCAGAGGAGAUCUCUGAUAUGACUUUCCUCCUACAAGCAUUACAGAAUUCAUACAAGGCUCUUGUUUUAAAAUCUGUUGAAAGAUUACAGCACCUGGAGCUUCAGCUGGAAGAGAGGCAAAGACUUAUUGCAGAAGUAGAGAAAGUUCACUGUCAGCUUCGAAAUGCAGAGACACUUGGCAAGCCUGAUAUGAACCAAACCAGCACUUGCUCAGAAUUAAUCAGUCAACAGGACAUUUUAAAGGAGAUUUUAAAGGACAUACAAGAGAUUGAAGGGCUUAUCUCAUCCCAUUGUGAAGAGAGUCAGGUCACAGCUGGGGAGCUGAGUCUAUCCGAACAAUUAUUUUUGAUUGACCAAUUAAGAAGUCUGAAAAAUAGAGCAAGGAAGACACAGAGGCAAAUUCAGAGUAAAUGUCAUGAAGUGGGAAAAAAGAUAGCAGUCUACAGAGAGUUUGCAGAAGGAAUGACUUCGUUGAAACAAGAGCUUAGUGAUCUGCAGUGUAGUGAAUUGAAACUGGAAGAAGAACUGACAGGGGCCACACAAGAAAUAAAGAAUAAAUGCAAAGCUCUUGAAGAAAAAGUAUUAUCCUUACAGUCUAAUUUGUCACAAAUAAUGAAGUUCAAAGAAAUUUUUGAAUGCAUAGGUCUAAAUUGGGAUUCAUUACAGCUGGAUGAAUUGCAUGAAUUGCAAACUCAAUUUUUUAAAAUUAGAAAUAAAAUUAAAGGGAAGAUAACACAUUUUGGUAAUGUUAUUAGGGAAUGUGAUAAGUUUCAUGCACUGCUAAAUGAAAUCCAGACUAUGACAUCUGCUGCAAGAAAAGAAGCAAAUAUAUUAAAUGAUAGAUCUAAUUCUUCUCCUGCUGAGAAUCUUAUAUCUGCACAGAUUCUGCUUCAGACAAUUCAACAGAUUUUGUGCUUAAUCCAGGAGGUAGAAAAUCAAAUAAACAAAAAUGAGGUUUUACACACGCUAUUCAAAGAAUCAAAGAGGCAAGAAAUAAAGAGCCUGGAGACAGAUGUUGAGGAAUUGAGUCUGUUUCUUCAAAACUUGGUCUCUAGUCUCCAAUAUGUAAACAAGGAAGAUAUCCAGAAUGUGGCAGAGCAUCUAUCCGAUGCCAUAAGGCAUGUUCAGUUAGAGCUCCAGCAGCCAAUAGCAGUAGACUUGAAAAUGAUGCAGUAUGAAAAGAUGCGAUGGGAAUCAAUUCAGAAUGUGAUGUCAGCAGAGUUUUCUGCCAUUAAAUGUAUAAUGGAAAAAGAGAGGGAAAGUCAAGAAGAAAAAUCUCUUGCUGCUGGUUUAGGAACAAAAUUAAGAGCGCUGGCAGAUCAUGAAAUACAACUGAAGACAGACAUUGCUGCCCGUGUUUCUGCUCUGGAGGAGGCACGUAAGGCUGGUGAGCUUUACACCAAGGCUGUUGAGAGGGCUGCCAAGUUCCUUGAGGACUGUGAAGCUGAAGUUCGUUCUGCUGCAGCAGAGCUCAGCAGUUCAGAGGACACCUAUCAAACUCCACAGUGGAAACAAGAAGAGUUCGACUCUGCAAAGGCUGACAUAGAGCAGUUGUAUUCCAAGCUGAAAAACCUGGUGAAACCAGAAGACAAAAUAUGUCUAGAAAAUACUUUAAGAGAACUAGUCAAUAAAAGUUUGGCAUUAAAAGAGAAGAUUCAGAGAAACGAGGCCGACAAACAGAGAUAUUUGGAAAAAUACAAAAGCUAUUCCAAAUGCAAAGAUAAAGUGUGUGAUGAUCUUAACAAUCUGGGAAAGAUGCUUGGGAAGUCUUUAUCCCAAACACCAAUGUCUUAUAAGGAAGCUUUGGAGAACUUACAAGAAUGCAAGAUUUUAGUCUCCAACAUUGACUCUGCUGAAGAUGAUCUUGUGAAGCUAAGGCAGGUCUCAGGAGAGCUGAUGAGAUUACGCAAGGGAAGUGACAGGGCCCUGGGCAGGAUUGUAACAGCACUGUGGGAAAAUUGGCUGGGUUUGCUUGAGGCAGCAAAAGAGCUGGAAAUAAACUGUGAAGAACUAAAACAAGAAUGGAAGUUCAUCAACGAGGAGCUGGAACGAGAAGCAAUAAUUCUUGAUAAGCUCCAGGAAGAGCAGCCAGAAAGUCUUAAAGAAAAGGAAAAAGCCACCAGAGAGGAACUGGUAGAAUUACUGGAUUCUGUGUAUGCAUUUGAGGAGAACAUCAGCAGGCAGCAGCUCCUCUUGCUCUUACUUCUUCACCGAAUAAGGAACAUCCUGAAUACAUCUGAAAACAUGGAGGCAGAGACUGCCCUUCCUGCCUUAUGUGAGAUAAAGACAAUGCAAGACCGCUGUAAAAAGUUGUAUGAAAAGACUCAAGACCAUAAGAAUUUGAUACAGUCUGAGAUUCAAGAGAGGAACAAGAUCACCGAAGAAAUAAAUGCUGUGAAAAAUGCAUUACAGAAUGCUCUAUCUGUGCUCUCCCAAGAUGCUGUUGCAAAGGCAGCACAGCUAAAGGAAGUUCAGAGUGUGAUUGAUAAAGAAAGUCAAAAUCUUAAGGAUAUCAUGGAGAAACUCCGGAUCAGAUAUUCUGAAAUGUACACAAUAGUUCCUGCAGAAACUGAAGCACAGCUGGAGGACUGCAAGAAAACUUUACAAGACUUGGAAGACAAGAUUAGCUUUGAAAACUUGCAGAGUUCUCCUCAGUAUGUGCUGAAAGGAAAAGCGGAGACUGUUAACAAUGGCCUUCAAGCUAUUGAAAAGAUGCUGGAACAGAAGACUGAAAGUGUUGCAAAAGCCAAAGAAGUUCAGAAGCAAAUCUGGGAUAUGCUGGAUCUUUGGCAUUACAAACUCAAUGAGCUGGAUGCAGAAGUGCAUGACAUAGUAGAGCAGGAUUCCUGCCACGCACAGGAGUUGAUGGAUAUCUUAAUGACCCCCCUUCAGCAUUACCAACAAGUCUCACAACUUGCCGAGCGCAGAACAGCCAUUUUAAACAAGGCUGCCAACAAGAUGGAAGAAUAUGAUGAACUCUUGAAGGACAUGAAAGUUUGGAUAGAAAACACCAACAGCUUGCUAAGAGCAGGUGUUCAGAAUGACUCCGCAAAAAGACUACACAAGUACACUGAUGGCCUUCAGAUGGCUUUGGAAGACUCAGAACAAAAGCAAAAUCUCCUGCACAGUGUUUACUUGGAGCUGGAGGAGCUAACGCCUGUCUUUGAAACAGACAGUAUAAUGCAGCAGCUGAAUGAAGCAGAGGAGGAAGUAGCAACGUUACAGCAAGAGAUAGCAGAGAUUCUUCCACAGAUCCAGCAUGUGGCUGAUGAACUGGAUGCCAUUGAAUCUCAUGUAAAAAUGUUUGAGAAGGAUAUUAUGAAAAUGAAGACAAUCUUAUCAUCAGAAGAUCUGUUGGAACUUUCUCCUAAAGACCAACUUAAACAUGGACAGGUUAUACUUGACCAUAUUGGUCCUAUGCAGAAGACCAUUGUUCACAUACAGUCCUAUGAAGAAGACCUUCAGCUGCCAGGGGUGAAAAAACAACCUGUCUCAGUCUUCUUAAGAGCAAGGCAACUUUUGAGAGAAUUGAAAAAAAUAGAAAAAAUUACUAAGGAACAAAAUGAACUGCUGGAGGAAGCUGUGAAGAAAACAGAAGAAUGUGAGCAAGAGAUUGAAAAGCUGAAACAAUUCCUAAAGAAUCACUUGGCUGAAAAAUCACAUGAAUAUCAGCCACGCACUCAGAAGGCUUCUUGUCCAGAGGGAGAAAUGGAAGCUAUAAAAGAAGAAAUCAUCAAGCUAUGCCAAAGAAAGGAAGACAUCCUUACCGGGAUGAAGAAUUCAAUGUCUGAGCUUCACCAGCGCUUACAGGAAGAAGUGCCUGAACCAGGAGAUGAGCCCACAGCCUCUGUGUUUGCACAAACUGACUCCAUAGGGACUGAUGUUUCCGAUGUGCAGCUGAAGAAGAGAGGACUGAUGUCCCUUCUGCCCUGUUUAGAUGAAGAGUCAGAAGAUGCUUUUCACAGCAAGGGAAGUACAGUCAUGGAGAUAGAUGUGAGCUUCUGGCCCUCAUUAAAAUACAAGGAAAAGUGUAAGGAGGACAGUGCAACCUCUUGGUCUUCUGGAACCUUGUCAGAUGGUGGUGCACAGGAUGCUGCUGAGAUAGUACGAUCAUGCAAUAAAGACAAUGAGGAAUCAUCUUUGCAAACUCCACAGAGGACAGAAAGCCCUGGCACAGGUCAUGAAAGUCAGACCGUGAGUGUCACGCCGCCUCCUGUUCCCAACGCCACCCAGGGCUCUCGAGGGAAAGAGGGAGACGCAGAGGAAGCAGUGGAUGCUGGUAGGCCCGAGCCGGAAACAAUCCUCCAGGCGUGCAAGGCCCAGGUCGCUGAGCUGGAACAAUGGCUAGACAAAACUAAGGUGUCCCUGGGCUCAGACCCCCAGACCCCCAAAAUGCAGCAGAUGGUGGAACUGCAGCUUGGUGAUUUCCAGGUGAUGUUAUCAGAGAUUGAACAAAAGGUUCUUAGUUUACUGGAAGAUGGUGGAAACAGUGCAGGCCACCAACAGGAGGCAGAGGAGCUUUCCUUGAAGCUGAAGGAAGCGAAGUGUAAUUUGGAGAAAGUCCAGAUGAUGCUUCAGGAUAAAUACAGUGAAGAGCAGAUUCCCAGCAGGGAGAGGAGUGACCCAGAGUCCCUCAAGAUGUUGCACUCCAAUAGCUCCAGCUUGCCCCAGCUUGGCCUCACUGAACAGCCUUUCCUCCAGCAAAAUGGUUUCCAGCACCCACAGGAUCUGAAAGUAAAAGCAGCAGAGCAGAAGAGCCUCAUUGACUUCAUUGAGUCAUGUGUGGAAAAAAUGCAGCCACAGUUUGAGGAUGGUGUGAAAUCAGAACCCAGCAAUGGGGAAUCUGAUCCAAAAAGCAAGCAGGUUGAUCCCACCUUAGCUCCAAAGGACCAAACGGGUAAUAAAUGGCAGUAUUUACAGCAAGAGCUUUCCUCAAAGAUGAAGUCUCCUCUCUGCCAGCUUGUGGAACCUCAGAUUACAACAAAACUGAACAUGCUGCCCCGGGGCGCGUUCCCAAAUGCAGGAGCCUCAACCGUGGAAGAGCUGAAAACAUACACUGUGCAGCUGGGAGACCUAAGCCAAGAAGCAAACGUGGUGCAUGCACAGGAGAAUGUGGCAGAGGAAGUUUCUUCCAAUUUGGACAAAAAACUAUUUGAGCUACUUCUGGCAAUCAGCCGGUGCUUGGAUAAUAUGGAGGAGAUGUUAAACACCUCAGUCCUCUCCACUGAAGAGGCAGCUGUGCAGCAGGUUCUUUAUGAGACUCUUUCUGUUGAGCUGCAAAAACUUCACGCUGAUCUGAGUGAUAAAAAGGAUGAUCUUUUAAAGUCUAUUACCUGUGCUGGUGGGAGCACAGAUGUGUUCUGUGAGUGCUUUAACAACUUACAAGCAUGGUUGGAACAGACUCAAGCUGCCACUGCUUCAAGGAGCAAUUCAAUGAAAGCUGGGCUGGAUCAUAAUUCCAGUUAUCAGAAUGAAACCAGGCUGCUUUAUGAUCAAUUAACUGAGAAAAAAGCUACUUUGCAACAAUGUUUGAACUCAAUUCGUGGACAUAAUGUUUCUGAGCAGCUUCAGAAAACUGAUGCCUGUGCUUUGGAACUGCAAAACUUUGAAAACCAAGUAGCAAAACUGAGAGGCUAUGGGGAAAGAUUCCAGUUACCUGUCACCUUAAUCCAGGAAGCUUAUAAAUUAGAGGAUGUGUUGGAUGACAUGUGGGGGAUUCUGAAAGCAAAAUAUGUGGAGCUGAAUUCUCCUUCCAUCAGUGAGAGCCAAUAUGAGGACUUACUUUGUGGGUUUGCAGAGCUAGUUGCUAUUGGACAAGAGAAGAUUGCACAAGAUGCAAAGCAGCUGACAAAAAGCAGAGCAGCUCUUCAAUCUCACCUGGAAAAUCACAAGGACUUUUUCCACAACCUCAUGACUCACAUGGCUUUCAUGCAAGCAUUUUCCAAGAAAGUGAAUCCCUCUGUCCUGCAAAAGAGAGAGAAAUUCUGGAGAGGGCUGGUGAAUGAAGUCAGAUUGCUGGAGCAGAAGGCCAGCCAGUAUGGUAUACACUUAGAGAAGUUGUUAAAGGAAUGGACUGAAUUUGAUGAUGAAUGUCUAGCAUUCAAUAAGGAGUUAGAGGCACUUUCUUCUAUGCUGCCAUCUGUGAAUUUGGUUGAAGAAACAGAAGAAAGAUUAAUGGAAAGGAUUGCACUUCUCCAGCAAAUCAAGAGCACUGUUGAUGAGAAGCAUGCCAGGCUGUACCAGAUGGUGAAAGAAGGGAAGAAAUUGCUGACUGCUGUGAGCUGUCCAGAAAUAACAAGUCAGAUCAGGAAGCUGGAAGAGCAAUGGUUGUCCUUAACCAAAAAAGUUGGCAAUGAACUACACAAACUUCAAACAUUACUCAAACUCUUGAUCAGCUACAACAGAGACUCAGAGGAGUUAAGGAAAUGGCUGGAUUCUGCUGAGCAGAGAAUGAAAUUUUGGAAGGAGCAGUCUCUCAACGUGUCACAAGAUCUUCCCACCAUCAGGGAUAACAUCGACAGCUUGUUUACAUUCUCUAAGGAAGUUGAUGACAAAUCUUCCCUGAAGUCUUCUGUGGUGAGCACUGCCAACCAGCUCUUUCAUGUGAAGCAGGCUGAUACUGCAGGACUUAGGUCAUCUUUGGCAAAGUUUGAGCAAAAAUGGGGAGAACUGAUUACACAGCUCCCAGCUAUCCAAGAAAAGUUGCACCAGCUUCAAAUGGAGAAACUUUCUUCGCGGGAAGCUAUUGCUGAACUAAUGACAUGGCUGGACCAUGUGGAACAACAGCAAGGACAUGAAGAACCAAUAAAUGCACAAAGUAGUGUAGUUCAAGUCAGAAGUCUCCUUCAGAAGUACAAGGAAUAUGUGAUGGAAAUGAACUUUAAGCAGUGGAUGGUAGAUUUUGUGAACCAAUCGCUCUUGCAAAUGAGCACUUGUGACGUGGAAAGCAAGCGGUAUGAAAGGACAGAAUUUGCUGAGUGUCUUGGCGAGGUGAACUUGCGGUGGCACAGGCUGCAGGCAUCCCUGAACAGAAAGAUACAAGACCUAGAACACCUUCUGGAAGAUGCUACCGAAAACGAGAACAAAGCACAGACUUUAUGCAACUGGCUGGAAGCACAGAGCGAUCGAAUGAGGUCUUUACAAACCCCAGCAAGUCUAAUCUCUGCGCAGAACACAUUAGAUGAUUGCAAGGUAAAAUAUUGUGACCUAGAAAAUCAGCUUGCAAUUAAGUCCAAAAUGCUGGAUGAGCUGAAGCAGAGUAUGUCUUUGAAUGGUAGUACAGAACAAACCCCUGAGGCGUUGUCUUUCAGAAUAGCCGACCUGUGUGAAAUGAAGGACAGUGUUGUCAGCCAGGUUGCACAGCUGAAAACCUCAAUGCAGUCAAUACUGGAGCAAUGGAAAGUAUAUGAUGACAUUUAUGCGGAAGUCAGCCUGCUGAUGACAAGAUAUUUGUACUGCAUAGACCAGUGCAAGCCCUCUGUGCCAUCACUGGAAGCUUUUCAAAAACAGGUCAAAACUCUCCAGUCUCUUCAGGAUGAGUUGGAGAACAGUGAAGAAAGUUGGGCCAAGCUCCAGGCAGCUGCCAAUAAUCUGAAGAAGAACUGCUCCCCCUCCUUUGCAGAGAUUAUCGAUCAGAAGUGCACAGAGGCACAUACCAGGUGGAGCUCAGUAAAUGAAGACAUCACUGAUCAGCUGCGGACAGCACAAGCAACGCUUCAGCUCUGGGAGCCCUGUGAUAGUUUAUGUACUGAGGCAGCAGUCAAGCUACAGCAGCAUGAAGAGCAGUGCACUCAGCUUUUGGAUGCCCGCAUGCCUGAAGAUAAUAUGAUAGAAACCCUGAAACAGAGGAUACAGGAUGUAAAGAAUUUACAGAAUGGUCUUCAGAACAUAGUGGGAUGCCGUUCCCAAAUUUCUGAGUUGGCUGAUCAGAUAAAACAGCAGGCUGGGACAGCUGCACACGCCGUUCUGUUGGAGAAGCUGCAACCGUUCCAGAGAGCAUCCUAUUUGGAAAAGAUGUUGCAGAGGAAGUUAGAUGAAUUGGAGUUCAAUCUUUUACAACUGGAGGAUUUUAAGAACUGUCUUGAAACUCUGGAGGGUCAUGUGAAGAAUUGCACAGAUGCCUUUGAUAGUCUCCAUCUAGACGGAGAAACAGACAACUCAGAAUUGCUCAUGAAUCACACUCUAGAGCUUGCUGCCCUUUCUCCAAGCAUAGAGAGUUUGAAUGAAGCAAGCAUUAAGCUGCCCCUCAGUGACUUCAUCCUAAAGAAGAUGCAGAGCCUGACUCGGCAAUGGAGUCAGAAGACAGCAACUGCUUUGGAACAUUGCAGUGUGCUUGAGGGAACUCAAACUGAUGAAAAGAAAUUCCUUCAGAAAUGUGAAAACUGGAUGAAAUUCCUAGAAAAAAUGAAAGAGGCCCUGAAGACAAAUGUUCCAGGACGAUUUGAAGAACUGCAAGAGCAACAGAGAGUCUAUGAGAUGCUGCAAACUGAGAUUUCCAUAAAUCAGCAGACAUUUAAUUCUAUCAUAGCAAAAGUUCUACUGUUCCUGGAAUCUGGAGAAGCAGAAAAAAGGACAGAGUUUAUUCCCAAGCUCACGUUGCUGAAAGAGCAGUGGCAGAAUGUUAUCUGGUUGGUUCAGCAGCGGAAGAAAGAUAUCGAUGGACUCGUGAGCCAGUGGCAGCUCUUCAGGGGUUCUCUGCAGAGCCUCAGCAGAUUCCUUGCUGAUACAAACAGCUUCCUCGCAGCCGUCAAGAGCCAGGACUGCUACAGCCUGUACCACCUUAGAAAUCUAAUUCAUGAUUUCAAGAGUAAGGCAGUGAUUCUUCAGAGGUGGCAAGGAAUGUACUCCUCAAUCAUUGAUGUUGGUGAGAAGUUGCGCACUGACUCUGAUCCUGAGACCAGCGCUGUUCUGCAGGAGGAGCUCAGCCAGCUGCAGCAGAGCUGGGGGGACACUCAGGUCCAGCUGGAGAAGAUGAAGACACAGCUCAGCAGCAUCCUGCAGAGCUGGGACAGCUGUGAAAAGCAUACCAAGGAGUUAGAGAGCAGGCUGCGAGAGCUGAAGGAUGAAGUCAAAGAUCCGCUUCCAGUCGAGCAUGAAGAACUCUACAAAUCCAAGGAACACAUUAAGGAGCUGGAGCAGUCACUGGCAGACUGGGCCCACAACAUGAAGGAGCUGCAGGCCAUGAAGGCGGAGCUGGCACACUGCAUCCUCACCGAGGACAUGAUGGUGCUCCAGGAGCAAGUGGAACAUUUGCACAGGCAGUGGGAAGAGCUCUGCUUGCGAGUGUCGCUCCGUAAGCAGGAGAUCGAGGACAGACUCAAUGCCUGGACUGUGUUCAAUGAGAAGAAUAAGGAGCUCUGCUCCUGGUUGGUGCAGAUGGAAAGCAAAGUGCUGCAGACGGCGGAUGUUAGCAUUGAGGACAUGAUAGACAAAUUGCAGAAGGAUUGCAUGGAAGAAAUAAACCUGUUCAGUGAAAAUAAGCUUCACUUGAAACAAAUGGGUGACCAACUAAUCAAGGCCAGCAACAAGAGCCGAGUUGCAGAAAUAGAUGAUAAACUCAACAAAAUCAAUGAUCGCUGGCAGCAUCUCUUUGAUGUCAUUGGAGCACGGGUGAAGAAACUGAAGGAAACAUUUGCUUUUAUACAACUUUUGGACAAAAACAUGAGUAACCUUCGCACCUGGUUGGCCCGGAUUGAGUCAGAACUUUCUAAGCCUGUUGUUUAUGACAUCUGUGAUGACCAAGAAAUCCAGAAGAGACUGGCGGAACAGCAGGAUCUGCAGCGGGACAUAGAACAGCACACAGCUGGAGUGGAGUCUGUCUUUAAUAUUUGUGAAGUCCUGCUGCACGAUUCCGAUGCGUGUGCUAAUGAGACGGAGUGCGACUCCAUCCAGCAGACUAGCAGGAGCUUGGACAGACGGUGGAGAAACAUUUGUGCCAUGUCGAUGGAGAGGCGAAUGAAAAUUGAGGAAACCUGGCGCCUAUGGCAGAGGUUUUUGGAUGACUAUUCUCGCUUUGAAGAUUGGCUAAAAUCAGCUGAAAGGACAGCAGCUAGCCCCAACUCUUCAGAGGUUUUGUAUACGCAUGCGAAAGAGGAGCUGAAGAAGUUUGAGGCCUUCCAGCGUCAAAUCCAUGAGCGGCUCACUCAGUUGGAGCUGAUCAAUAAGCAGUACAGGCGCCUUGCCCGCGAGAACCGCACGGACUCCGCCAGCAAGCUGAAGCAGAUGGUGCAUGAAGGCAACCAGCGCUGGGACAACCUCCAGAAAAGAGUGGCUGCCAUUCUGAGGAGACUCAAGCAUUUCACCAAUCGCAGAGAUGAGUUUGAGGCAACGAGGGAAAACAUCCUUGUUUGGCUCACAGAAAUGGACCUCCAGCUGACAAAUGUGGAGCACUUCUCAAAAAGUAACUUUGAUGACAAAAUGCGCCAGUUAAAUGGUUUUCAGCAGGAAAUAACACUGCACACCAAUAAGAUUGAUCAGCUAAUCGUUUUUGGGGAACAGUUAAUUCAGAAGAGCGAGCCUUUGGAUGCUAUCCUGAUCGAAGAUGAAUUGGAAGAACUUCACAGAUACUGCCAGGAGGUGUUUGGGCGAGUUGCCCGCUUCCAUCAAAGGCUGACUUCAAGACAUCCCGGAUUAGAUGAUGAAAAAGAGACCUCUGAAAAUGAAACAGAUCCAGAAGACUCCAGGGAAAUCCAGAACGAUCCCUGGCAUAAGAAGGCCAUCAGUGAGGGGCCUUCUUCCCCACAGUCCCUUUGCCACCUUAUGCCACCUACUCAAGGUCAUGAAAGAUCAGGCUGUGAGACUCCUGUCAGUGUUGACUCCAUCCCACUUGAGUGGGAUCACACAGGUGAUGUGGGGGGCUCUUCGUCUCACGAGGAUGAAGAAGAAGCGACGUACUACAGUGCUUUGUCAGAUGUAGAAAUCACUGAAAAUCCUGAGGCAUAUCUUAAAAUGACCACAAAAACUUUGAAAGCAUCUUCUGGAAAGGCUGUUUCAGAAGCUCAUCCCUGGCAUUCUCCCGAGAGCCCUGUCUGCAGGAAACACCGAUACAACCAGGCAGAGAUUGUUGGUGAUGUGCUGUCUGGUCCAGAGACGAGCACCCCCUAUAAGCCAGGCUAUGUGAAGCAGCUCAGCUCUGCAAGCAGCAGCAGCGUCAACAAGGAGAACAGUACAUCUACUAACAUGAGUGAUGAAGAACCCCAGGAUGACCAAGAGCUUGUGACUAUGGCAGCUGCAGAGAAGCAGUCAGGCAUUAUUGAUAGGUGGGAGCUCAUCCAAGCUCAAGACCUCAGAAAUAAACUUAGGAUAAAGCAGCACUUGCAGCAGUGGCAGCAGGUGAACUCUGAUCUCAGCGAUGUCUCUGCUUGGCUUGAUAAAACUGAGGAGGAGCUGGAAGAACUGCAAAAAGCAAAACCUCCAACUAGCAUGCAGGCGAUGGAACAAAGGGUCAAGAAAUUGAAAGACACACUGAAAGCGUUUGAUAACUACAAGGCCGUGGUGCUUUCAGUUAACCUGAGCAGCAAGCAGUUCCAGAAAGCGGAUAGCACAGAGUUCAAGGAGCUUCAGAACAGGCUUCGGAAGGUGAACUUGCGUUGGGAGAAAGCCACUCACUCAUUGGACAACUGGAGGAAGGGUUUACGGCAAGCCCUGCUGCACUGCCAGGACUUCCAUGAUCAGAGCCAAAAACUAAUCCUGUGGUUAGCAAGUGCCGAAGGCCGAAGGAAUGAGGCACAAAUCACAGAUCCAAAUGCUGACCCACAUACAGUACUGGAAAGCCAGAAAGAGUUAUUGCAACUGGAGAAAGAGCUGCUGGAACAGCAGCUUAAAGUAAACUGUCUUCAAGAACUCUCUGCUUACCUGCUGCUUAAAUCUGAUGGCGAAGAUUACAUUGAAGCUGAUGAGAAGGUCCAUGUGAUUGGAAAGAAACUGAAACAGCUUCUUGAGCAAGUUUCACAUGACUUGAAAUCAGUACAAGGAUGUCUGGAUAGCAGAGUAUUCCUGCCAGUUCCAGAUGACUUGGACUCAGAAGUCUAUCAUCCAGUUGCAGUGAAAUCCAGCCCUCCUGUAAAGAAGGCUAGUAUUUCUUUAUGUAUUUGUUUAUUUAGAAUACUUCACUGUCAGCAUAUGUGUGUGUGUGUGAUUAGCUUGAAGGUUCCUCAGAUGAAGCCAUUUUACCUUUUAGAAGUGUAUACCUUAUUACAGAACUUACAGCAGGACUGAAAGCCUACCACAGCCUUCUUUUAAGAAAGAAAUUCCUUGCUAUAGUUUAUGAAUUCUGGUUAAUAGAUACUAUUUCUCUCAACAGAUCACAAUAAGGAGAACUUCAGAUGGCAGAAAAAACAGCAACACAAGAGCUGAAAGCCACGCACAACCGACUCAUGUGGUCCCUCGGUCCCCCUCCUUCUUUUACCGUGUGUUACGAGCAGCUUUACCCCUCCAGUUGUUCUUUCUACUGCUUCUUCUCCUGGCGUGCAUGAUUCCAUCUUCUGAGGAAGACUACAGCUGCACCCAGGCAAACAACUUUGCCCGUUCUUUCUAUCCGAUGCUGCGAUACACCAACGGGCCUCCACCGACAUAGGAAGAAGCCCAGGGAUCUCCAUUAUACCAAAACACACUCUUUGCGGUGCUUAUUUUUAUGCUGCUGGCAUCAGUGAAAUGGUGAUACCACGUAGUUAAAUACAGAAACCUGUAUGCUGUGUUAGUUCCCUAAACAGGCCACUACAGCCCCCUCCCAUCCUCCACGCCGCUGCCCAAGCCUGUGCUGCAGCUCAAUAAAGCCUCACAUUUUAGCAUUCUCCGGUGGAUGGGAAUGUGUUAAAUUUCACAUCUCAAAGUGUAUAUCUUGAGAAAGUUUCAGCAUUUUUGUAUGGAAAAUGAACUUUUUCUAUAGAUUUUUAAACCUGAAGCAACACACUUUAUACUUGGAUGCAAUAGAACACUAUUUUGUAGCUGCAGUGCACUUAAGCUUGCAAGGUGAUCGAAUACUGAGUUAUUAGAUGCAGAAACUUCUUCACAGUAAUCUCAAACGCAGCAGUUGGUCUCGGGUUGGCGCGAUGAACAAGCAGUUGAAGAGGCACUCUGCCUAAACCGAUUACUGCACACACUUCACAUGACUGUAUCUUUUGGUACUGUGAUCACUGGGUGGAAAUAGAAAUCUGCAUCUUUCCGAAUCUUUGUUACUGUGUUUUAUUCAUCUGACACAUUCAAUAAAAGGAUGCACAUUUGUUUUGUUUUACAUGUAAUUUUCUAGUGGUUAGGACUGCUGUGUUGUCUUUUUGUACCACUUUUGAAAUACAGAAUUGUUACAGUGCAUGGAAAUGCUUUAUAAAUGCACAGGUUUUCUAGAUGAACACAAUUAUGUAGACUGUCCCUGAUGUAUGCAAAUACUGUAAUGACUUUUUUAAUGAAAGUUGUUUUUUUUUUUUCAGAUUUUAACCUGCUGAAUAGUGUACAGGAUCGGGGGAGAGAAUUGUGCAUUUUCUUUUUAUAUAUAAACUCGCUGUAAGAUUCUCCACCUUAAAUUGAAAUUGACAGUGUAGGCAAUGGCUUGAGAAACAUUGUGUACAGUCAGCUUCACCAUUGCUCCUCGGUUGUACAGUUUGAGUCCUCAUUAAAAUUCUGCCACUGUC
This is an RNA transcript of Tympanuchus pallidicinctus (lesser prairie-chicken), 22467 nucleotides long. It is a transcript of the gene named spectrin repeat containing nuclear envelope protein 2, with no coding region annotated. The transcript is spliced from 117 exons. NCBI's taxonomy places the organism in Eukaryota, Metazoa, Chordata, Aves, Galliformes, Phasianidae. The record is from RefSeq and is a predicted model, not a curated record.